This is a long non-coding RNA of Humulus lupulus (European hop), 1439 nucleotides long. RefSeq lists it as uncharacterized. NCBI's taxonomy places the organism in Eukaryota, Viridiplantae, Streptophyta, Magnoliopsida, Rosales, Cannabaceae. The transcript has 4 exons. The record is from RefSeq and is a predicted model, not a curated record.
AUAAACCACCUGCAGAAAAACAGCAAAACAAGGUUCUUACACGAGAAGGGGUUUCAAGAACUCAUAUCCUUGAAAGAACUAUACAUCUAUGGGUGCCCCAAGUUGCAGUCACUUCCAGUAAAAGGGCUGCCACCUUCUUUUGAAACUUUCUCUAUGAGAUUGCCUUUUGCUGGAAGCAAAGUAUGGUACGACCAAGAUUUGUCGCAUCCCUAAGCCUCAAGUGUCCAUUAGUCGACAACUCAAAAUUAAGCUAUCCUUCAGCUGGUUUGGGCCCAAAGUCAUAGUGUUUCACAUCGUCCUCAUUCUCUUAUGUGUAUAUUUACUUAUGUAUUUCAAUUUCUAUGAGAGACGAUUUCUGAGACCGAAGAGGAUUGCCCAGAUUUCAACUUGAAAACCAUAAUUUCUCAAGGCAAACAAACUUCACCAUAUCUGAACCACAAUACAAAAUCUUCAUCUCUUUUUUUCUUUUCCUUUUGUGAACCAAACCAUGUGAUCCACUCCAUAGGACCAUAGCAGCUGCUGCCGAAGAAGCUCCCUAGACCAACUCACACCACUCAUUGCCAACACCAUUCUUCCUCUUCUCUCUCCGUCGCGCACUGUGAGUUUCUCUUUUACCUUUUUUUCUUCAUCAAAAAGGACCAUUUUAUCUUAAAAAUUGUAGUUUUAACUAAUAUAUUUUCACACUUCUGUAUUUUUGUGGAUGGCGGAGGAAAAGUUGGAGUUGGACCCAAAUGUCCCAUCUGAACAAAAUGGGACUUUAGAGGCUGCAAAUACCAGUGAUGAGCGUGUUGAUCAGGCUCCAACACUCCAAAACGAUGACAAAGGUGGCUGGAAUCGACGUUCGUCUUUGUGAUAUUGUUGCUGCAAUUCAAGAGGUCAUGGAGUCUUAUGAGUUUGAAAUUAUUGAAAAGGUGCCUCAAGUAAAACAGGCAAUUCAGGGACUUGAUGAAGGGUGCUGAGCAUGAAAGCAAGAGAGAAGUGCCCACUCUACAUUCCUGGAUCAUUGGCAUUCCCCAAAUGUCUUACCUCAGCUCCAGGAAGAAGAAUGGUGGCUCCAGAUAGUCCGGUUGUCUUCGACAUGAGCUUGGAAUACAUACCAGGCUUGGAAUUUGAGGAAGAAGAAGAAUAAUGACACAAUUUUUGGUUGAGCUGUAUAACCUUUGACCAUGAAAUAAGGGGUCUUGGUAUAUAUGCAGCUGCAGCACAGCAACAACUUAUUAUGUCCCAACUUUUACUUUUGGUUGAGCUGUUAACCGCAUUAUUCGAAAGGCUAAUAAUGCUAAAGUUAUUUGGACUGAGUUUUGUUUGCUUUAUUGCUCUUUCUUUCUUUGUAAUUAAAAAUGAUACAAACGUAAAUUAUGAUCUUACAUUUUCCUCCUCCCCUGUUUUCAUGACAACCAAAAACUAAUCAUUAAUCACUAAUCACUAAUCAUUAGUCA